This 549-nucleotide ribosomal RNA is filed under the name uncultured bacterium. Its description in RNAcentral is "bacterial SSU rRNA". It matches the Rfam family "Bacterial small subunit ribosomal RNA", at positions 356 to 896 of the family's 1533-position model. The record is from RNAcentral.
UANNAAUCUUCGGCAAUGGGGGCAACCCUGACCGAGCAACGCCGCGUGAGUGAAGAAGGUUUUCGGAUCGUAAAGCUCCGUUGUAAGUCAAGAACGAGUGUGAGAGUGGAAAGUUCACACUGUGACGGUAGCUUACCAGAAAGGGACGGCUAACUACGUGCCAGCAGCCGCGGUAAUACGUAGGUCCCGAGCGUUGUCCGGAUUUAUUGGGCGUAAAGCGAGCGCAGGCGGUUUGAUAAGUCUGAAGUUAAAGGCUGUGGCUCAACCAUAGUUCGCUUUGGAAACUGUCAAACUUGAGUGCAGAAGGGGAGAGUGGAAUUCCAUGUGUAGCGGUGAAAUGCGUAGAUAUAUGGAGGAACACCGGUGGCGAAAGCGGCUCUCUGGUCUGUAACUGACGCUGAGGCUCGAAAGCGUGGGGAGCGAACAGGAUUAGAUACCCUGGUAGUCCACGCCGUAAACGAUGAGUGCUAGGUGUUGGAUCCUUUCCGGGGUUCAGUGCCGCAGCUAACGCAUUAAGCACUCCGCCUGGGGAGUACGACCGCAAGGUUG